Lolium perenne is the source of this 620-nucleotide long non-coding RNA. RefSeq lists it as uncharacterized. The record is from RefSeq and is a predicted model, not a curated record. Lineage: Eukaryota; Viridiplantae; Streptophyta; Magnoliopsida; Poales; Poaceae.
GUAGCUGCGGCCGCCACACCGGAGCGGAGUUGGAGAAUCCGCGGCCGAAGUGGAGGAGCAGAGCAGGAGAAAAUCCUGGGCACGGAAGCUGCAAGGGGCGACGGUUUAGGUACCUGGCGCUGCCACCUAUUCCUGUUUUUCUUCAUUAGCUGGCCACUGGAUCUGUGGUGGGCGAGGUUUGGCGGUCUUGUUCGUUGCCAUGGAAGACGGCGGAGGAGGAAGAAACAGAGGGCGUGAGAGAGUGGUGAUAGAGAGCGCUUUGUUGGCCAUGGCGGGCCACGCAGCGGCCACACCAGCUCGCGCUCUGGCGAAAGGGUGCCCAAGCGUGGGAAAGGAGGGCGGCGACUCGGCAUGGGCGGCUGUUCGGUGCUUUGCUAUUGCAAAGCUUGGUCAAAACGGAGCUCUAAGGUGGAACCGGAUCAAGGAUUGAAUAUCUUACUCUCUUGUCUUGGCAGCACUACAAUACCGAAGAUAUCUGAUUUCGUCCUGUCCAGGUGAUAAUGGUCCAACCAAGAAAGAAAAUGUUCAGUUAGCGAGAAAUGGUGCAAUUGUUCUGGCCUCGUCCUGCAACUACAGUCUGCAAUGAAAAUAGGCCGUAAAACGCUUGCUCUGCUAUGACG